AAAACCCAUUUGACUUUUAAGACUUUUUCUCACACCCAUAUCUAAAUCUUAAUUAGUGAGACCCCCUUAUUAAGAUAGGAUAAGACACAAUUACCCUUAACAGCAGUUAUUAAAAUAAAUCAAAUAUUUAAUAAUAAUAAAUUUAUAUAACCGUUUCCUUUUUUGUAGUGGGACGUGAUAUCCUCAACAUAAUCUUCAGCCGAUUUUCAGCCUUUUUUGCCACGAUUGGUUUCUUCUGUUCCGGCCAAGUCUCUCAAUUUUUUCCUCUCCGGCACUCUCGCUCUUGCUUUCUCCUUCACCGGAGUGGGAUUUGCUGAGGGAUUAGUUGGUGUGAAUAAGCCAGAAUUGCUACCCAAACAGUUCACUACUGUAAUUGAUGUUGCUGGAUUCCUCUCCGAUGGCCAGG
Molecule: non-coding RNA, 406 nt
Organism: Erythranthe guttata (spotted monkey flower)
Lineage: Eukaryota; Viridiplantae; Streptophyta; Magnoliopsida; Lamiales; Phrymaceae
Source: RefSeq, a predicted model, not a curated record